AACGAACGCUGGCGGCGCGUCUUAACCAUGCAAGUCGAGCGGCAGGCAGCAAUGCCGAGAGCGGCGGACUGGUGAGUAACACGUGGAUAACGUACCCCGAUGUCUGGGACAGCCUGUAGAAAUAGAGGGUAAUACCGGAUAGAUCACUGUUUACGUGAGGUAGACAGCGGGAAAGGAGCUUCGGCUCCGCGUCGGGAACAGUCUGCGGCCCAUCAGCUAGACGGCGGGGUAAGUGCCCGCCGUGGCGAGGACGGGUAUCCGGCCUGAGAGGGCGGACGGACACAUUGGGACUGAGAUACGGCCCAGACUCCUACGGGAGGCAGCAGGUAAGAAUAUUCCGCAAUGGGGGGAACCCUGACGGAGCGACGCCGCGUGAACGAAGAAGGCCGGAAGGUUGUAAAGUUCUUUUCUGUCCGAGGAAUAAGUGUAGGAGGAAAUGCCUGCAUGGUGACGGUAGGGCAGGAAUAAGCACCGG
This 475-nucleotide ribosomal RNA is filed under the name Treponema socranskii. RNAcentral's name for it is "bacterial SSU rRNA". It matches the Rfam family "Bacterial small subunit ribosomal RNA", at positions 29 to 496 of the family's 1533-position model. Lineage: Bacteria; Pseudomonadati; Spirochaetota; Spirochaetia; Treponematales; Treponemataceae. The record is from RNAcentral.